GAAGAGCUAUUACCAUCUUCUCCUCUACUUGGCUUUACAGUUCAGAUCCCAGGCGAAUGACAGAUGGUGAGCCGGGAAGGGAGAGUCAAUUUUAGAGAACGUAGAACUCAGUGUUUAAAAUAGAAUCCUACAGUCUUUGAGGUGGAGAGGGCCGCAGACUUGGGCUGGGCUUGAAACAGCGAGACGAUUGCAAAUGGGCCGCAUGGCCCUGGCCGCUACCAGCCCCCGUGACAUAGGCCGGCCUGGGUGUCCUCUUGGUCAAGCUCCACAGAUAAGCAGGGCACUACGAAAUGCCUCUGCUGAGGAGGAAAAGAGCUGCUGUUGGCAGCAAGGGCACAGAGGAGAGGCCCAGGAACCCUCGGACAGGCACUCGAGACGAGCUGCCCUCUCCAGGCUCGCUCCAGAGCGCUCCAGUGAUCCCCGACAUUGACUUCCAUGAAACAGAGGCUUAAAAUCACUCAUACACACCGGCGUGUUUGAAGAGCUUUCACUUGCCCUUCCCCGCAAACUGGGCCAAACCUUAAAAAGGCCAACUUGGGGUCAUGAAAUCAAUUGAGCAGACCACAAGCGGAAUUUGAACUUGACACAGAACAGAACGAAAUAGAGAGUAUCGCAGUGUGUCUCACACGGCAAAGGGAGGCAGCCUGUUCACAGUAAUCCUGCAGGGAAGGAGCCGGAGGGAUGAACAUCUCAGCCUCACUGUCCUCUCUGUUUCUCAUCUCCUGCCAACGAACACGCUGGCCUACCAGGCCCAGGGUGCCAUGACGCAGUCCACAUGGGAAAGCAGGGUGACGGGGGCGGAGAGUGACUAUGGAGUUCAGACAGAGCAUGACCCGUGCAAACAAAAUCUCUGCCCUUAUAUUCCAUGGAUGGCCAGGUAUGUAAUCCAAAAAACCCACAGGUACCCCCAUGCUGGCAGAGAGGUAUUAACGAGGACUUCUGGAAGCACCUGCAAAGAAGCACUUGCCUCUCCGCGUAGGGUUAGGGAAGGCUCGCCAGGGAGAAGACACUCUUUCUGCCCAACACCCUUCCUUGGGAACCACCCUCUCUGUUUCCCUCCCUGCAGAAAGGGUCCUGGUUGGUCCCGGACAUGGUGCUCCGCCCCUCUGCUGCAGGGACCAAUCAGAGUGGGUCUUUAAUCCCCUGGCCACAGUGAUUGGCUCAGGGAAGGGCCAAAGUUCAGCCCCACGGACUCUUACGUGAGAAUCUCCAGCUAAGGACCAAACUGUCUUUUGCCUCUGAAUUCUGGUUGCUGGGAGGUUGUGAAAUUAGAACUGUCGGCUGCCAUCUCUCCCCUUUCCCCAGUAAGUGUAAAUAUCCAACCUAGGGGGGAAAUGGAGGCAAGGCAGAGACUCAUUUUACUGGGAAAUAGUUUAUGUUCCGGGUUGCUGUAUGUUCGGGCAUAUACUGCAUGUAUGAUCACUUCUCCUUUUAAGUUAGUUGGAGUUGAGCUUCUGUCCCGGCUCAACAUGCAAAGAAAACCGCAUGUGCAAAAGUGUGUAGGGGAGAAAGCGGAUGGCAUAUUGAGGGACCGGCUGGGUUUGUGGUCUGGUGCUGGCGAAGUGGGCAGAAAUUGGAUAAGGCUCUAACAGUGGGCUUGGGUCAGAUGCCGAAUGUAUGAGCAUUCAUGAAGGGGGUUAAGCAGGAAGUGACACGAACAGAUGUGCAUUUUAGAAAGCCCACCCUGAGAGCCAUGUAGAGGACAGGUGGAGGUGAGCAGGCCUGGGAGGAAGGGGGCUACGGCAGAGCCUGGGGUGACCUGGUGGGCGUGCAGAGCUCAGCUGGGGACAGGAAGGAGGGCAAUGCUGGGAUGCCGGAGGGAUUGAGGGGAGUGAAAGAGUCUAGAAUUCGUACCAAAGUGCCAGUUUGGGUGAGAAGGUGGAUGACAACAUAAAUGGGGUCUUACUUCCCACAUCUCACAACUUGGAGGGCCUUCUCCUUCCUCAACAUCAUUUCCUGAAUGCAUUCUGGGUUUACCCAUCGCAUAUGUAAGACAUGGAGGCCCAGAAUAGGACGUAUUACUCCAGAUGUGGUUUGACCAGUGGAGGACUUGGGCCAUGACACAUUUUCAUGAAUGGAGCCCAUCCAUCCAGAGGCUCUUCCUCAAAAUCAUUUCACUACGGUGACUCGUGAAACACAUCACUGUCUAAAACCCCUAAGUCGUCUUUAACACAGGUUCCAGAUCACUUUUGUCAUGCGGUGGUGAAUAUUUUUUCAAGUGAAUAAUUCUUUUACCCUAUCUGAAAUGCAAGCCUAUGGCAUUAAGUUUAGCACGCCUUCCCUGCCUCUGAAAACCGCACCUCUCCAAUUCUUUUCCUCUGAUCGAAUUCAACCGGCAAGCAUGAAGCGAAGAGUCUGGAACGGGUACUAUGGGGAACGCGUGAAAAGGACAUGUUCUUCCGUUUCCAAGAAGCUUAGAAUCCAAUUAUAUGUCUAUAAUGAGGUAUACGUAUAAUUAUUAAAAGUCGUUGGAAGUCUCCAGUUGUGAAACAUUGGCGUGGAGUGCUCGCUAUGAUUUUGAAGGGCCCGGGAACAUCCACCAUGAGGUUCAUCGCAACA
Molecule: long non-coding RNA, 2559 nt
Organism: Acinonyx jubatus (cheetah)
Lineage: Eukaryota; Metazoa; Chordata; Mammalia; Carnivora; Felidae
Exons: 3
Source: RefSeq, a predicted model, not a curated record